RNAcentral lists this microRNA precursor (105 nucleotides) under Mesocricetus auratus (golden hamster). RNAcentral's name for it is "miRNA (ENSMAUG00000004614.1)". The record is from RNAcentral. Lineage: Eukaryota; Metazoa; Chordata; Mammalia; Rodentia; Cricetidae.
UGGUGGUGCUGUUUGGGGAACUCAAACUGUAGCUUUGAGAAUAUAUGGCUUCGGGCUGGAGAGAUGGCUCAGCCGUUAAAGGCUAGGCUCACAACCAAAAAUAUA